AGCAGCCGCGGUAAUUCCAGCUCCAAUAGCGUAUAUUAAAGUUGUUGCAGUUAAAAAGCUCGUAGUUGAAUUUCGAGAUCAAAUUGUUGGUCGUGCCUUGGUACGCACUGGCAUUAUUGGUUUCUCCCUUCUGACGAACCAUGAUGUCAUUAAUUGGUGUCGUGGGGAAUCAGGACUGUUACUUUGAAAAAUUAGAGUGUUUAAAGCAGGCUUACGCUUGAAUCAUUAGCAUGGAAUAAUGAAAUAGGACGUUUGAUUCUAUUUGUGGUUUCUAGGAUUGACGUAAUGAUUAAUAGGGAUAGUU
RNAcentral lists this ribosomal RNA (304 nucleotides) under uncultured Glomus. RNAcentral describes it as "SSU rRNA". It matches the Rfam family "Eukaryotic small subunit ribosomal RNA", at positions 569 to 883 of the family's 1831-position model. The record is from RNAcentral. Lineage: Eukaryota; Fungi; Glomeromycota; Glomeromycetes; Glomerales; Glomeraceae.